UGAUCUCAAAUCAGGUAGAUGCCCGUUCCCCUUA
RNAcentral lists this ribosomal RNA (34 nucleotides) under uncultured Tomentella. RNAcentral describes it as "partial 28S ribosomal RNA". Lineage: Eukaryota; Fungi; Basidiomycota; Agaricomycetes; Thelephorales; Thelephoraceae. The record is from RNAcentral.